RNAcentral lists this ribosomal RNA (726 nucleotides) under uncultured bacterium. RNAcentral's name for it is "bacterial SSU rRNA". It matches the Rfam family "Bacterial small subunit ribosomal RNA", at positions 94 to 823 of the family's 1533-position model. The record is from RNAcentral.
AGCGGCGAACGGGUGAGUAACACGUAGGUGAUCUGCCCAUAAGACGGGGACAACGAUUGGAAACGAUCGCUAAUACCGGAUAGGACGAAAGUUUAAAGGUGCUUCUGGCACCGCUGAUGGAUGAGCCUGCGGCGCAUUAGCUAGUUGGUAGGGUAAAGGCCUACCAAGGCGACGAUGCGUAGCCGACCUGAGAGGGUGAACGGCCACACUGGGACUGAGACACGGCCCAGACUCCUACGGGAGGCAGCAGUAGGGAAUCUUCGGCAAUGGGCGAAAGCCUGACCGAGCAACGCCGCGUGAAUGAUGAAGGCCUUCGGGUUGUAAAAUUCUGUUAUAAGGGAAGAACGACUUUAGUAGGAAAUGGCUAGAGUGUGACGGUACCUUAUGAGAAAGCCACGGCUAACUACGUGCCAGCAGCCGCGGUAAUACGUAGGUGGCGAGCGUUAUCCGGAAUUAUUGGGCGUAAAGAGCGCGCAGGUGGUUGAUUAAGUCUGAUGUGAAAGCCCACGGCUUAACCGUGGAGGGUCAUUGGAAACUGGUCGACUUGAGUGCAGAAGAGGGAAGUGGAAUUCCAUGUGUAGCGGUGAAAUGCGUAGAGAUAUGGGGGAACACCAGUGGCGUAGGUGGCUUCCUGGUCUGUAACUGACACUGAGGCGCGAAAGCGUGGGGAGCAAACAGGAUUAGAUACCCUGGUAGUACACGCCGUAAACGAUGAGUGCUAAGUGU